GAACUAGUUUACUAGUUGGGUGGCGAGUGGCGGACGGGUGAGUAACGCGUAGGAAUAUGCCUUAAAGAGUGGGACAACCUGGGGAAACUCAGGCUAAUACCGCAUGAGCUCUGAGGAGGAAAGCUGGGGACCUUAUGGCCUGGCGCUUUAAGAGUAGCCUGCGUCCGAUUAGCUAGUUGGUGGGGUAAGGGCCUACCAAGGCGACGAUCGGUAGCUGGUCUGAGAGGAUGAUCAGCCACACUGGGACUGAGACACGGCCCAGACUCCUACGGGAGGCAGCAGUGGGGAAUAUUGGACAAUGGGGGGAACCCUGAUCCAGCAAUGCCGCGUGUGUGAAGAAGGCCUGAGGGUUGUAAAGCACUUUUGUUGGGGAGGAGUCUUGUUAGGUUAAGAGCUAGAUGAGAGGACGUUACCCAAAGAAAAAGCACCGGCUAACUCCGUGCCAGCAGCCGCGGUAAUACGGAGGGUGCGAGCGUUAAUCGGAAUUACUGGGCGUAAAGGGUGCGUAGGUUGCUGAUUAAGUUAUCUGUGAAAUUCCUGGGCUUAACC
This 549-nucleotide ribosomal RNA is filed under the name Legionella oakridgensis. RNAcentral's name for it is "bacterial SSU rRNA". It matches the Rfam family "Bacterial small subunit ribosomal RNA", at positions 72 to 614 of the family's 1533-position model. Lineage: Bacteria; Pseudomonadati; Pseudomonadota; Gammaproteobacteria; Legionellales; Legionellaceae. The record is from RNAcentral.